This 271-nucleotide ribosomal RNA is filed under the name uncultured bacterium. Its description in RNAcentral is "partial 16S ribosomal RNA". It matches the Rfam family "Bacterial small subunit ribosomal RNA", at positions 524 to 793 of the family's 1533-position model. The record is from RNAcentral.
UACGUAGGGUGCGAGCGUUAAUCGGAAUUACUGGGCGUAAAGCGUGCGCAGGCGGUUCGUUGUGUCGGCGGUGAAAGCCCCCGGGCUUAACCUGGGAAUGGCCGUCGAAACUGGCGAACUGGAGUGUGGCAGAGGGGGGUGGAAUUCCGCGUGUAGCAGUGAAAUGCGUAGAGAUGCGGAGGAACACCGAUGGCGAAGGCAGCCCCCCUGGGCUGACACUGACGCUCAGGCACGAAAGCGUGGGGAGCAAACAGGAUUAGAACUCCGUACG